RNAcentral lists this ribosomal RNA (385 nucleotides) under uncultured bacterium. RNAcentral's name for it is "bacterial SSU rRNA". It matches the Rfam family "Bacterial small subunit ribosomal RNA", at positions 29 to 409 of the family's 1533-position model. The record is from RNAcentral.
AUUGAACGCUGGCGGCAUGCCUUACACAUGCAAGUCGAACGGCAGCACGGGAGCAAUCCUGGUGGCGAGUGGCGAACGGGUGAGUAAUAUAUCGGAACGUGCCCGGUCGUGGGGAUAACGUAGCGAAAGCUACGCUAAUACCGCAUACGAUCUACGGAUGAAAGCGGGGGAUCGCAAGACCUCGCGCGAUUGGAGCGGCCGAUAUCAGAUUAGGUAGUUGGUGAGGUAAAGGCUCACCAAGCCGACGAUCUGUAGCUGGUCUGAGAGGACGACCAGCCACACUGGGACUGAGACACGGCCAGACCUCCGUACGGGAGGCAGCAGGUGGGGUAAUUUUGGAACAAGUGGGCGCGAAGCCUGAUCCAGACAAUGCCGCGUGCAGGAU